GAUGAAGAACGCAGUGAAAUGCGAUAAGUAAUGUGAAUUGCAGAAUUCAGUGAAUCAUCGAAUCUUUGAACGCACAUUGCGCCCGCCAGUAUUCUGGCGGGCAUGCCUGUUCGAGCGUCAUUUCAACCAUCAAGCCCCGGGCUUGUGUUGGGGACCUGCGGCUGCCGCAGGCCCUGAAAAGCAGUGGCGGGCUCGCUGUCACACCGAGCGUAGUAGCAUAUAUCUCGCUCUGGGCGUGCUGCGGGUUCCGGCCGUUAAACCACCUUUUAACCCAAGGUUGACCUCGGAUCAGGUAGGAAGACCCGCUGAACUUAAGCAUAUCAAUAAGAGGAGGA
RNAcentral lists this unclassified non-coding RNA (335 nucleotides) under soil metagenome. RNAcentral describes it as "partial contains 5.8S ribosomal RNA, internal transcribed spacer 2, and large subunit ribosomal RNA". The stretch from base 1 to 120 matches the Rfam family "5.8S ribosomal RNA", at positions 35 to 154 of the family's 154-position model. The record is from RNAcentral.